UGGGGAAUAUUGCACAAUGGGCGAAAGCCUGAUGCAGCAACGCCGCGUGAGUGAUGAAGGCCUUCGGGUUGUAAAGCACUUUUGUCCGGAAAGAAAUCCUUGGCUCUAAUACAGUCGGGGGAUGACGGUACCGGAAGAAUAAGCACCGGCUAACUACGUGCCGGCAGCCGCGGUAAUACGUAGGGUGCAAGCGUUAAUCGGAAUUACUGGGCGUAAAGCGUGCGCAGGCGGUUUGCUAAGACCGAUGUGAAAUCCCCGGGCUCAACCUGGGAACUGCAUUGGUGACUGGCAGGCUAGAGUAUGGCAGAGGGGGGUAGAAUUCCACGUGUAGCAGGUGAAAUGCGUAGAGAUGUGGAGGAAUACCGAUGGCGAAGGCAGCCACCUGGGCCAAUACUGACGCUCAUGCACGAAAGCGUGGGGAGCAAAACAGGAUUAGAUACCCUGGUAGUCCACGCCCUAAACGAUGUCAACUAGUUGUUGGGGAUUCAUUUCCUUAGUAACGUAGCUAACGCGUGAAGUUGACCGCCUGGGGAGUACGGUCGCAAGAUUAAAACUUAAAUGAAUUGAC
This 568-nucleotide ribosomal RNA is filed under the name uncultured bacterium. RNAcentral's name for it is "partial 16S ribosomal RNA". It matches the Rfam family "Bacterial small subunit ribosomal RNA", at positions 355 to 914 of the family's 1533-position model. The record is from RNAcentral.